AGAUUUCAGUUUUUUUCAAUUUUUUUUUGUAGUUUUAUUUUUUUAAUUUUAAUUAUAUUUUCAUGGUUUUAUUUAAAGUUUCGCCAUUUUAUUCUAUCUAUAUUUUUCAUGGUUUUUAUUUGAUCCACUUUGUUUUCUAUGAAAGCCGAGGUGGUUUUAUUUUUAAUUUUAAUUUUUAGUUAUGUUCUAACGUAUAUGUAAUAUUUGUCAAUAUAAGUGUAUCGCCAGAUUUAUUAUAAACCGUUCUUGAAGAGUUUUAUCAUAAUAUAUCAUAGUGAUGGUGAUGGAUUCAAGAUAAUGCGGAG
This 305-nucleotide long non-coding RNA is filed under the name Gossypium raimondii (Peruvian cotton). RNAcentral's name for it is "long non-coding RNA (GRAI_LNC009264)". Lineage: Eukaryota; Viridiplantae; Streptophyta; Magnoliopsida; Malvales; Malvaceae. The record is from RNAcentral.